CUAAAGCUGUUCUAAAAUACUUAAACAAUUGAAAUCAUUUUGUCUCUUCUCCAAAAGCAAGAAACCCUAUCGUUCCAUUCCAAAACCCACAAUUAGCUCAAACCCUAUCAAUUCUCUUUUGCUCUCAUCGGAAUAUAAGUUUGAAGACAUGUUAGAGGAAGUCCAGAAAAUUGAGCAAGUUGAAGAAGACUCACCUUUGAGGAUUGAUUAGAGGGAUAGUUGACUACAAUUUGCUUCAUGAUUAUUUUUGGAAUUUUUACUACUUUAAGAUAAUUAAUUAAAAGAAAG
Molecule: non-coding RNA, 288 nt
Organism: Nicotiana tabacum (common tobacco)
Lineage: Eukaryota; Viridiplantae; Streptophyta; Magnoliopsida; Solanales; Solanaceae
Source: RefSeq, a predicted model, not a curated record